GGACCGCACACAAGUCUGUUGGAAUACAGCGGCAUAGUGGUGAGACCCCCGUAUAUGGUGCGGACGCCCAGCGCUUUGUGAUACAUUUUCGAAGAGUCGAGUUGUUUGGGAAUGCAGCUCAAAUUGGGUGGUAAAUUCCAUCUAAAGCUAAAUAUUGGCGAGAGACCGAUAGCGAACAAGUACCGUGAGGGAAAGAUGAAAAGCACUUUGGAAAGAGAGUUAACAGUACGUGAAAUUGUUGGAAGGGAAACGCUUGAAGUCAGACUUGCUUGCCGAGCAAUCGGUUUGCAGGCCAGCAUCAGUUUUCCGGGAUGGAUAAUGGUAAAGAGAAGGUAGCAGUUUCGGCUGUGUUAUAGCUCUCUACUGGAUACAUCCUGGGGGACUGAGGAACGCAGUGUGCCUUUGGCGGGGGUUUCGACCUCUUCACACUUAGGAUGCUGGUGGAAUGGCUUUAAACGACCCGUCUUGAACCCCGGGACACCCACGGCCU
RNAcentral lists this ribosomal RNA (490 nucleotides) under Rhodotorula mucilaginosa. Its description in RNAcentral is "partial large subunit ribosomal RNA". It matches the Rfam family "Eukaryotic large subunit ribosomal RNA", at positions 172 to 664 of the family's 3401-position model. The record is from RNAcentral. Lineage: Eukaryota; Fungi; Basidiomycota; Microbotryomycetes; Sporidiobolales; Sporidiobolaceae.